This 228-nucleotide ribosomal RNA is filed under the name uncultured bacterium. RNAcentral describes it as "partial 16S ribosomal RNA". It matches the Rfam family "Bacterial small subunit ribosomal RNA", at positions 568 to 796 of the family's 1533-position model. The record is from RNAcentral.
UACGUAGGCGGCCAUAUAAGUCAGAAGUGAAAGGCUACGGCUUAACCGUAGUAAGCUUUUGAAACUGUAUGGCUUGAGUGCAGGAGAGGAAAGCGGAAUUCCUAGUGUAGCGGUGAAAUGCGUAGAUAUUAGGAAGAACACCAGUAGCGAAGGCGGCUUUCUGGACUGAAACUGACGCAGAGGUACGAAAGCGUGGGGAGCGAACAGGAUUAGAUACCCUGGUAGUCC